This 234-nucleotide long non-coding RNA is filed under the name Homo sapiens (human). Its description in RNAcentral is "HSALNT0153785". The record is from RNAcentral. Lineage: Eukaryota; Metazoa; Chordata; Mammalia; Primates; Hominidae.
GAUUAUUUAAAUUUUAAGCAUAUAGAUUCAGGAUAUGCCUCAAAAAAAAAAAAAAAAAAAAAAAAAAACCACAAGGGUUUUUUUGUUUGUUUUUUGUAUAUAUAUAUUUUUCUUUUUUUUUUUGCUCUAUUUUAUUGGCUGAAGUGUAAAAAAAAAAAAUUAAAAGGAGCAGAAAAACCGAGUUAUGUUUUCCACUCUUAUUCUUUAGUAUAUUUCUUUUCAGUCUUUUUUUUU